This is a long non-coding RNA of Lagopus muta (rock ptarmigan), 2530 nucleotides long. RefSeq lists it as uncharacterized. The record is from RefSeq and is a predicted model, not a curated record. The transcript has 5 exons. Lineage: Eukaryota; Metazoa; Chordata; Aves; Galliformes; Phasianidae.
GCCUGAGGAGGAUGUGGAGAAGAAAGGAAAUUCACCGAGAGGAAGAGGAGGAAAACAAAAAGAAGAAAUGAAAGAGAAAGGAAAGGAGGAAGAUGAAGAAAACGAGGGGAGGAAAAAAGAAAGAACAGAGGAAAAAAAAAACCAAAAACCAAAAAACAAAGACAACUUUUUGAGACUGCAAUUAAAACCGAGCCACCUCCGCUCCUCCUUUGCUGCGGCGCUGGGGAUGCCAUUGACUCCAGGUACGUGCAAAGUCCCACCCCGUUGCCACCUCUCCUAAAUGACAAUUUACACACGAUCUGUGCAAUCCUAAGGAAGCAUCUGCAGCAUCUUCCUGAGGAGGUUUGCUUUCUCAGCUCCGUAACGACGCUGCACCUCAGUCAUUAGCGAUAAGCGGCUGUUGGCACCAGGACGGCUGCACCCACCAACCUCCUGCAUGUGUGCACUUAAUUCAUGAAAAAUCAAUAUUGGAAAGGAUGGUAAGAAUGAAAAUCUUCCAUUUCCAGCUUUCUGGAAUCGCUUCUGUACUCGGAAAUGGAAAGCAACUGGAGGUGCACUCAGCAGCAGAGCAUGGCUGGGAGAUCCUCAGCUAGAGGACAGAGGGUAAACACAGAAACCCACACUGCAGUUUUAUUUUUAUUCCUCCCUCAUCCUCAUUUUGAGCCCAUUGUGGGUGGCUGCUGGUUUGGUGGGGAUCUCAACGCUCCAUGAGGUUGCGUUGGUGCUUCCUGAUGUCUCCCCAUCUAUCUGUCGCCAAGAGGGCAAGAAACCUGAAGGUCUUCCACACCUGAAUAUGUGGAAUGAGCUGAACCCCAAAUCUCUCUUUUUUUCCCAUCUGGUUGGAGCAUGAACUCCAUCACCCCAUGCCCAUUUUGGGGCUGAGGCCGCCAUCCUCAUGCAGACAUUGAUCCCUUGGAGGUGACCCAGCACCUCCAGCCCCGCGCGUGCAGGAAUGGGCACUCAUUCCCUAACACCCACAAAAAUGCAUUAAGGCUCUUAGCUGCUCAGCUGAGCUGGAGCCGCUCAGCUGAUUUCUCCCUGCUCAGACUGGGGGGGGAGGAGGGAGAUGGAUUUUUGUGCCUUUUUCUCGCUUUUUAUGCUGAGAUGCAGUCAUGGAGUGGACGUGGGCUGGGGGAUGGAGCUUUGGCUUCACUGCUCUGUGUUGCUGAGCCUCCAUCCUUGGCUUAUUGCUUCUUUUCCACUGCUCGCUCCUCUUGGUUUCUGUGCUGUUAUCAAUGAUUUAUGGGACUGAAGGGCAAGAGAAAAAGAUCUUUCUUUGGCCCCAGUGUCUUCCUCUCUUAAAAGUGCCAAGUAAAUUUGGCACUGGGUGCUUAAAUCUAUGAGUAGCCCAUGAAUUGCCAUGGGUGAAGCAAGGUUUAUGUAGAGAGGAAAUACACAAGGCAAACCACUACAUAAAAAACAGAUCUGUGCUGGCAACCCAGGACAGAACAGAGCAGUGGGGUGGGGAAAGUAGCAUGUGGUCCUACUGAGCUGCAGGGUUGCCUUGGAUGGCUAUACCACAGCACUCAGCAUCCCCAGAUCUGCACAGACUUUGGGUCUUGGGGCUGGGCUUGAGGUUUUUCAGCAGCUCUGGUGACAGAGGGAAGCCUGGGGACCACGGCUCCUCACGAGGCAGGUGGAAAAAAGGGGUUCUUUUGAAUGGAAUUUAUUUGGCUCUGCCUUGUAACUCCUGGGCUGGAUGUCCAUGGAGAUGAAGGAUGUUGGGUGAAUUCUGUGGCCAUCAUCAUCUGUGGUGCAGCUGGGGGGCACUGGGGCUGACAUUUAUCCUUCUCUCAUUCCCUUUUCUCUUUCUCUCCACUAGCGCAGAGAGUAGCUUCGCCUGCUGUGAUGCUCCAUGCUUUUCCUGGCCAGCCAAGAGUAAUGCUUGAGUCCUGGGGGAAGUUCAUUCAGAAUUGCCUGGAGUGGAGGCUGGAAAGCAAAACCACAACCACAGCAGAGCCUGGAUAUGGGAAGCUGCUAGCAGGACCCAUCUUGGGGACGGUCGCUGUGUGUGCCUUCCUCCAUCCUCCUCCUCCUCCCAGCAGCUGGUGACGUGGAGCAGCACAGAGCAAGCCUGGCAUCGGGCUGUAAGGACAGCAGGAGCACUUUGGGGAUGGGACACAGCACCGUGCCACACUGGUGGAGAACAAGAAGCUGGAAGAGGGAAAAAAUCACCAGCAGCAGAAGAAAAGAAAGGAAACGAAAGUCUCCAAACUCAGGAAAUCCGUGUUAAUUGCUUACAAAUGUCUCCAUCUCAAAAAUUAUCCAACUGAUGUUGUCGUGCUUUUUUUUUUUUGACAGCCUGUCUGUUAUAUAUAUUUUUUAAAUAUUCAUGCACCGAAAUCUAAUUACUAGGCAAAUUUAAUGAUAAUGAAAUGAAGGCACUUUAGCAGAAAGCACGGGGCCUUGUUAAUAUUUUCUCAAUCUCUGUCUUGUUCGUGUUUUUAAAGCAUUUUUUUUUGUUGUUUUCACCACCGCCUCUCUUGCAGUAAAAAAGAAUUGCCAAAAAUAAAACUCGGAUUGCUGGAAA